UUUUUUGUAAUAUGUCGUUUUUCUGCCGGUCUUGGGACGUUUUGACUGUCAUUUUAUACUUUCGAUUUCGGAUAUUUUAAGAAUUGUUUUGAUUGUCAAUGACUUUACAAGGAUACAUUGACGUCUCCUGCAUCGUGAGAAAUAAAGCCAUAGAAUACAUUCAUACCACUCAAAUUCAGCCAGUCAGAAUGAUGGGAAGGAUUGCAGAACUGAGUUUCACUCUCACCUGACUGAUGCAGAUUCAGUAACCUAAUUGCUCAUGAUGGUUUCUGAGAAAAAAACAGCUUGGUGUAAUUUGACAGUAUUUUUCAGUAUUUGACAGUGGUUCUAUCAUGCAACAGUCAUACCAUGAAGUGUCUCACAGAUUCUGUCUCAAUUCCUGCAAUAUCCAAGAUUACAGUGUAGUGCAAAGAGGAUUAAUUUUCUUGCAAUAAGAAGUAUCUGCACUUCCAAAGACCCCUGUACAGCAUGAACAGUUCCUUCAUUUUUUGAGUGAUUAUAGAGUGAAAAUGUUUCCAUAUAAAAUGUUUUCUUUAAUUGUUGUCUAAAAACCUUUGUAUUUUCAAUGUGAUACUUUUUAGCAUGUCCGCUUCAGUCAAUGAAAUAUUUCUGUUAUUUGUUAAUCAUUUGGUCAUACUUUGUAUAGAAUUAUAUUUAUAAUUUAACCUUGAAAAUUGCUGACAAUCUCAUACUUAUAUUGAAAUAUUCAGAAUUGCUAGAUGGGUUGAAGUUCACCUUUAUUACAACUGUCAGGCAAUCAUGGCAAGAUGUACAUAAUUCUCAUUUUUAACAAAAAGCGAUGUUUAAAGCAUUAGUAAUGUAAUUUUUAUUGAAUGGUUACCAUGGCAACUAAUUUUUUGUUUGCCUUUAAUCUUCCUAUUUAUAAUACUAUUCAUUGUAAAAAUGCAACAGUCAAGCAGUGAAUGGAAGAAUGUAAAUGUUCUUUGUCUUUUACCUUUUUCAAGCUCAUUCUUCAAAAUAUUAAGCAAUUUUAAAAUUUCUUAAAAAUAGACGUUUUUUCAUCAUUUUUUUAAAGUAAAAUAAUUUGCUUAAAACUUUGUUUAGGUUCUGAUAUUUAGGAAUGUGUAUUAAAUUUAUAGAAAAUAAACAAAAUGUGUUGUUUGACAUUAUUCAUUUCAUUUAAAUUCCGAAGUUUUGAAUUUGACCUAUUUUGGCAGAAAAAUUGAUAAAAAUGUAAAAUUAAAAGGGCCAUAAUUCUGUCAAAAAUUGA
Molecule: long non-coding RNA, 1231 nt
Organism: Mya arenaria
Lineage: Eukaryota; Metazoa; Mollusca; Bivalvia; Myida; Myidae
Exons: 4
Source: RefSeq, a predicted model, not a curated record